UAAAUACUAAUACCAGAUCGAUAGUGCACAAGUACCGUGAGGGAAAGGUGAAAAGAACUGAGGUGAUCAGAGUGAAAUAGAACCUGAAACCAUUUGCUUACAAUCAUUCAGAGCCCUAUGUAGCAAUACAGGGUGAUGGACUGCCUUUUGCAUAAUGAGCCUGCGAGUUGUGGUGUCUGGCAAGGUUAAGCAAACGCGAAGCCGUAGCGAAAGCGAGUCUGAAUAGGGCGCUUAGUCAGAUGCUGCAGACCCGAAACGAAGUGAUCUAUCCAUGAGCAAGUUGAAGCUAGUGUAAGAACUAGUGGAGGACUGAACCCAUAGGCGUUGAAAAGCCCCGGGAUGACUUGUGGAUAGGGGUGAAAGGCCAAUCAAACUUCGUGAUAGCUGGUUCUCUCCGAAAUAUAUUUAGGUAUAGCGUUGUGUCGUAAUAUAAGGGGGUAGAGCACUGAAUGGGCUAGGGCAUACACCAAUGUACCAAACCCUAUCAAACUCCGAAUACCUUAUAUGUAAUCACAGCAGUCAGGCGGCGAGUGAUAAAAUCCGUCGUCAAGAGGGAAACAACCCAGACUACCAGCUAAGGUCCCUAAAUCUUACUUAAGUGGAAAACGAUGUGAAGUUACUUAAACAACCAGGAGGUUGGCUUAGAAGCAGCCAUCCUUUAAAGAAAGCGUAAUAGCUCACUGGUCUAGUGAUUUUGCGCGGAAAAUAUAACGGGGCUAAAGUAAGUACCGAAGCUGUAGACUUGCGCACAACUUAGAUUAUUUAAGUUUAGAAUAUGAGAAACUAAGUUAUAUGUUUAGUUAUAUUUUUACUGAUUUUUAUAGAGUAAAGAUAGAAAUAAAACUUAGUAAAAUCAGUAAAAAUAUUCUUAGACUAAAGUUAAGUAGUUUAAGUUGUGUGCAAGUGGUAGGAGAGCGUUCUAUUUGCGUCGAAGGUAUACCGGUAAGGAGUGCUGGAGCGAAUAGAAGUGAGCAUGCAGGCAUGAGUAGCGAUAAUUAAUGUGAGAAUCAUUAACGCCGUAAACCCAAGGUUUCCUACGCGAUGCUCGUCAUCGUAGGGUUAGUCGGGUCCUAAGUCGAGUCCGAAAGGGGUAGACGAUGGCAAAUUGGUUAAUAUUCCAAUACCAACAUUAGUGUGCGAUGGAAGGACGCUUAGGGCUAAGGGGGCUAGCGGAUGGAAGUGCUAGUCUAAGGUCGUAGGAGGUUAUACAGGCAAAUCCGUAUAACAAUACUCCGAGAACUGAAAGGCUUUUUGAAGUCUUCGGAUGGAUAGAAGAACCCCUGAUGCCGUCGAGCCAAGAAAAGUUUCUAAGUUUAGCUAAUGUUGCCCGUACCGUAAACCGACACAGGUGGGUGGGAUGAGUAUUCUAAGGCGCGUGGAAGAACUCUCUUUAAGGAACUCUGCAAAAUAGCACCGUAUCUUC
This 1423-nucleotide ribosomal RNA is filed under the name Campylobacter coli. Its description in RNAcentral is "partial 23S ribosomal RNA". It matches the Rfam family "Bacterial large subunit ribosomal RNA", at positions 467 to 1737 of the family's 2925-position model. Lineage: Bacteria; Pseudomonadati; Campylobacterota; Epsilonproteobacteria; Campylobacterales; Campylobacteraceae. The record is from RNAcentral.